RNAcentral lists this non-coding RNA (220 nucleotides) under Desulfuromonas sp. Its description in RNAcentral is "T-box sequence". It matches the Rfam family "T-box leader". From Rfam's summary of the family: Uncharged tRNA acts as the effector for transcription antitermination of genes in the T-box leader family. T-boxes are found upstream of many aminoacyl-tRNA synthetase genes and some amino acid biosynthetic genes usually in Gram-positive bacteria. Lineage: Bacteria; Pseudomonadati; Thermodesulfobacteriota; Desulfuromonadia; Desulfuromonadales; Desulfuromonadaceae. The record is from RNAcentral.
AGAAAGGCGAUGAAGAGGAGUAGUAGGCUCCCCUCCUGUCCCAGAGAGCCGGCGGUCGCUGCAAGCCGGUACAGGAAAAGCUGAACUCGCCUCGGAGCCGCGGAAGUGAACCUGCCAGGGCAGCUCAGCUUUCGCCGCCAGCCAGCGUAACCGGCCAAUCAAGGGUCCCGACGGGACUGAAUCAGGGUGGUACCGCGAAGCGCAAGCUCUCGCCCCUGUA